This is a long non-coding RNA of Macaca fascicularis (crab-eating macaque), 1707 nucleotides long. The record is from Ensembl. Lineage: Eukaryota; Metazoa; Chordata; Mammalia; Primates; Cercopithecidae.
UGACCUUCGGUGCUGACAUCUUUCACGUCCAAGGAGAGUGGAAUCUCACAGUGAGUGACCUGUUGACAGAUACCUGGACUCUUUCUACUACUACGAAUAAUGCUGCUAUGAAGACUCUUGCAUAAGAUUUUUUUGGCAAAAAUAUUUUCAAUUUUCUUGGGCGUAUGCCUAGGAGUGAAAUUGCUGGGUUGUACGGUGAUUUCAUGCUUCACUUUUCUGAGAAACUGCCAGACUUUUCCAAAUCAACUGUACCAUUUUACUUCCCCUCCCACUAGCAAUAUAUCAAGAUUUCAGUUUUCCCAAAUUCACCACCAUGUCACUGUCCAAUACUGGGGUUUUACCCAUCCCGGUGGUUGUGAAGUGGUGUCUCACGGUAGUUUUGAUUUCCAUUUCUAAGAUGAUGAAUUCUGCUAAACAUCUCAUGUGCUUUUUAAGGCAUUUAUAUGUCUUUCUUUGGAGAAUGUCUAUUCAAAUCCCUUGUCCAUUUUUAAAUUGGAUUUUUACUAAGAGCUUUUAAAUAUAUUCAUGAUAUCAGGUCCUUAUCAUGAUAAUGUAUCCUGUUCUGUGGGUUGCCUUUUCUUUAAGAGUAUCCUCUGAAAUGAACAUUUUUAAUUUUGAUCCCGUCUUUUUCCCUUCAGUUGCUUGUUACAGCUUUAGACGUCUCAGCCAAGGAAACAUUGCCUAAUCCAACGUAGCAGUUUCACCAGGAUUCUUCCCUAAAGGUGUCAUGGGCUGAACUGUCCCCCCUCUCAAGAUUCCCAUGUUAAAGUCACAACCCCGGAAACUCAAAAUGUCACUGUACCUAAGUGUACAGGGCCUUUAACUUGGAAAUUUAGGUCACGUAAGAUCUUAAGAGUAGGCCCUGAUCCAGUAUGACUGGUAUUCUUUUGCGAGAAUUUAGACACAGUCCUCAGUGCUGCAUGCACAUAAGAGAAACCUCUGAGGACACAGAGAGGACGCCGUCUACACAGCACGGGGUGAGGCCCCAGAGAAUCCAACACUGGCCGCACCUUGAUCCCAGGCUUCCAGUCUCCACAAAAAAGCAAAUAAGAUGCUGUUGUUUAAGACGCACGGUCUGUGGUGUCCGUUAUGGUACCCAGCAGACUGACAGAAUGGGUCUCACAGUCGACUCCUUACGCUGGAUCCAUUUUGAGCUUUGCGUGUAGGGUGAGGAAGGGUCCAGUCCAUCCUUUUCCAUGUGGAUACCCUAGUUGUCCCAGGACCAUUGAGUUCUGAAAGUAAAAAAGUAAAGCAACGCUUACCGUCCUUUCUCCAUCAACAGAUUAGAAGAUACACUGAAAAAUCGUGGACAAUUUUCUCAGUUUAAGCCAGUAGUUUUCAAAUUUUUUGGUCUCAGGAACCCUUUGCACUUUAUUCAAGAUCACAAAAAAGCUUUCUCAUCAGGCCGGGAGUGGUGGCUGCUCAUGCCUGUAAUCCCAGCACUUUGGGAGGCAGAGGCAGGUGGAUCACUUGAGGUCAGGAGUUCAAGACUGGGCUGGCCAACAUGGCGAAACCCCAUCUCUACUAAAAUACAAAAAUUAGCCUGGCAUGGUGGCGAACACCUGUAGUACCAGCUACUAGGGAGGCUGAGGCACAAGAAUCACUUGAACUCAGGAGGCAGAGGUUGAAGUGAGCUAAGGUCACACCACUACACUCCAGCCUGGGUGGCAGAGUAAGAAUCUGUCUCAAAAAAAAGAAAAGAAAAAA